UACAGAGGGUGCAAGCGUUGUUCGGAAUUAUUGGGCGUAAAGCGCGUGUAGGCGGCUUGGCAAGUCGGGUGUGAAAGCCCUCAGCUCAACUGAGGAAGUGCGCCCGAAACUGCUAGGCUUGAGUGCCAAAGAGGAUGGUGGAAUUCCCGAAGUAGAGGUGAAAUUCGUAGAUAUCGGGAGGAACACCGGUGGCGAAGGCGACCAUCUGGUUGGUAACUGACGCUGAGACGCGAAAGCGUGGGUAGCAAACAGG
Molecule: ribosomal RNA, 253 nt
Filed under: uncultured bacterium
Lineage: Bacteria
Description: partial 16S ribosomal RNA
Rfam family: Bacterial small subunit ribosomal RNA
Source: RNAcentral